Molecule: long non-coding RNA, 438 nt
Filed under: Gossypium raimondii (Peruvian cotton)
Lineage: Eukaryota; Viridiplantae; Streptophyta; Magnoliopsida; Malvales; Malvaceae
Description: long non-coding RNA (GRAI_LNC007209)
Source: RNAcentral
GCGUGUUACUUCUUCUUUACAGGUGGCACUAGAGUCAACCUACGGUGGCAGAGGAGUUGGUGGUGGCAGAAAGGUGUUAAACGUCACGUGGAGGCGACGACACGAAGAGGCUAGGGUUUCUGCCCCUUUUUUUUUUCUUUUUUUGAAAAUAUUAAGUGUUUUGGCCUGUUUGGGCCAUCAGGAUGUUUAGGGCUGGUAGUUUUUUUUUUUUUUUGUAAUUGGAUUUUGGACAUUGGGCUUUGGUUGUUAUUUUGGUUUGGUUUGUAAUUUAUUCGUAAAUUAGGCCCGGGCAAAAUUGGGCCAUUACAGUUAGCAUUUUUUUGAAAUAGGCAUAAUGACUUAUUUGACCUUCUAGCUUAAAAAAAAGGUAAUUUUAGCUUUCCAUAUAAUUUUUCACUUUUUUUCAACCUUUAAACUUGUGUUAUUUGUCAAAUCACC